GAUGAACGCUGACAGAAUGCUUAACACAUGCAAGUCUUUGGUGAAGCUGUGCUUGCACAGCCUAGCCAAGGCGGACGGGUGAGUAACGCGUAAGGAACUUGCCCUGCAGUCAGGGAUAACAGACGGAAACGACUGAUAAGACCUGGUAAAGUCAGGCGGACUCAUGUCCAGCCUGAUGAAAAGAGAUGCUGCAGGAGAGCCUUGCGUCCUAUUAGCUUGUUGGUGGGGUAACGGCCCACCAAGGCAAUGAUAGGUAGCCGGCCUGAGAGGGUGGACGGCCACAAGGGGACUGAGAUACGGCCCUUACUCCUACGGGAGGCAGCAGUGGGGAAUAGUGGACAAUGGGGGCAACACUGAUCCAGCAAUUCUGUGUGCACGAUGAAGGUUUUCGGAGUGUAAAGUGCUUUCAGCAGGGAAGAAAAAAAUGACGGUACCUGCAGAAGAAGCGACGGCUAAAUACGUG
This 463-nucleotide ribosomal RNA is filed under the name uncultured bacterium. RNAcentral's name for it is "partial 16S ribosomal RNA". It matches the Rfam family "Bacterial small subunit ribosomal RNA", at positions 28 to 507 of the family's 1533-position model. The record is from RNAcentral.